RNAcentral lists this transfer RNA (106 nucleotides) under Thermoproteota archaeon. RNAcentral's name for it is "tRNA-Ser". It matches the Rfam family "tRNA". Rfam says of the family: Transfer RNA (tRNA) molecules are approximately 80 nucleotides in length. Their secondary structure includes four short double-helical elements and three loops (D, anti-codon, and T loops). The record is from RNAcentral. Lineage: Archaea; Thermoproteati; Thermoproteota.
GCCGGGGUACCCUAGCCAGAGGCUCGAUCCGGCUAAGAAGGGGGCCGGACUCGAGAUCCGGUGGCCCAUUCGGGACGCGUGGGUUCGAAUCCCACCCCCGGCGCCA